Molecule: ribosomal RNA, 254 nt
Filed under: uncultured bacterium
Lineage: Bacteria
Description: partial 16S ribosomal RNA
Rfam family: Bacterial small subunit ribosomal RNA
Source: RNAcentral
UACGUAGGGUCCGAGCGUUGUCCGGAUUUAUUGGGCGUAAAGAGCUCGCAGGCGGUUCCGUAAGUCAGAUGUGAAAACUCAGGGCUCAACCCGGAGACGCCAUCUGAUACUGCGGUGACUGGAGUCUGGUAGGGGAACACGGAAUUCCUGGUGUAGCGGUGAAAUGCGCAGAUAUCAGGAGGAACACCGAUGGCGAAGGCAGUGUUCUGGGCCAGUACUGACGCUGAGGAGCGAAAGCGUGGGGAGCAAACAGG